AACGAACGCUGGCGGCAGGCCUAACACAUGCCAGUCGAACGAAGUCUUCGGACUUAGUGGCGCACGGGUGAGUAACAUGUGGGAAUAUACCUUACGCUGGGGGAUAACAUCGGGAAACUGAUGCUAAUACCGCAUACGCCCUUCGGGGGAAAGAUUUAUCGGCGAAAGAUUAGCCCGCGUCCGAUUAGCUAGUUGGUGAGGUAAUGGCUCACCAAGGCUCCGAUCGGUAGCUGGUCUGAGAGGAUGACCAGCCACACUGGGACUGAGACACGGCCCAGACUCCUACGGGAGGCAGCAGUGGGGAAUAUUGGACAAUGGGCGCAAGCCUGAUCCAGCCAUGCCGCGUGAGUGAUGAAGGCCUUAGGGUUGUAAAGCUCUUUCACCCACGACGAUGAUGACGGUAGUGGGAGAAGAAGCCCCGGCUAACUUCGUG
RNAcentral lists this ribosomal RNA (433 nucleotides) under uncultured bacterium. Its description in RNAcentral is "partial 16S ribosomal RNA". It matches the Rfam family "Bacterial small subunit ribosomal RNA", at positions 29 to 507 of the family's 1533-position model. The record is from RNAcentral.